AUUGAACGCUGGCGGCAUGCCUUACACAUGCAAGUCGAACGGCAGCACGGGAGCAAUCCUGGUGGCGAGUGGCGAACGGGUGAGUAAUAUAUCGGAACGUGCCCAGUCGUGGGGGAUAACGUAGCGAAAGUUACGCUAAUACCGCAUACGAUCUAUGGAUGAAAGCGGGGGAUCGCAAGACCUCGCGCGAUUGGAGCGGCCGAUAUCAGAUUAGGUAGUUGGUGGGGUAAAGGCUCACCAAGCCGACGAUCUGUAGCUGGUCUGAGAGGACGACCAGCCACACUGGGACUGAGACACGGCCCAGACUCCUACGGGAGGCAGCAGUGGGGAAUUUUGGACAAUGGGCGCAAGCCUGAUCCAGCAAUGCCGCGUGCAGGAAGAAGGCCUUCGGUUGUAAAC
This 399-nucleotide ribosomal RNA is filed under the name uncultured bacterium. Its description in RNAcentral is "bacterial SSU rRNA". It matches the Rfam family "Bacterial small subunit ribosomal RNA", at positions 30 to 430 of the family's 1533-position model. The record is from RNAcentral.